RNAcentral lists this non-coding RNA (41 nucleotides) under uncultured Brevinema sp. RNAcentral's name for it is "Histone 3' UTR stem-loop". It matches the Rfam family "Histone 3' UTR stem-loop", at positions 2 to 42 of the family's 46-position model. Rfam says of the family: The mRNAs of metazoan histone genes lack a poly-A tail. Lineage: Bacteria; Pseudomonadati; Spirochaetota; Spirochaetia; Brevinematales; Brevinemataceae. The record is from RNAcentral.
CAAAGGCUCUUUUAAGAGCCACCCACACUGCUCAAAAAGCA